GAUGAGGAAGUGGAACGCAGCGGCGCGAAAACAAAAGUGCGGAUUUAAACAUGUCAAUUUUGUCGACAUUAUAACUUUCGAUAAACGUAAAGCCAUUUUUUUUAUAUGUUUCACGAAGCCAUGGAUCUGGACGUCGACACAACCGGGUGUCCAGACUACGACCAACGAGACGUCACAAGUUCAACAUCAAAUUCAUCUUCUAUACCAGGCGGCGUCUGAACGCCACACACUUGCUGCCAUCUGGUGGACAUUGAAGAAAGCGGAAGUAAGGAAGCAAGGUUGGUUGCAUGAAGAAAGUCCCCUACUGUCUCUAUGGUGACCCAGGAAUGCAGGAUGUCAUCACUAAUCAGUGGGAGUGACACGCUAGCAGCCAAUCAGUCGAGUCGCGGGGGCCGCAGCCUAAGCAGCAGUAUCUGACGGGGAACGUUACGUUGCUUACUACAUUCAUGUCCAUUCAACCUGGCGCCAACAACUGGGAGACGUGCGCCGCCUUCAAAGGAGGAAAGCAGCCGUCGUACCUGAAUGAAGACUUCCACAGACGCCGACAGGGGCCAGACCCCUCGGUCUGUGGCGUAGACCCUCAGCCAAUAGGAGUCCUUGCUCUCGCAGUCCAGGACGCCUGACGUGUAAAUCACUCCUGUGGACGCACACGCCCGUGUUAGUGACGGCGGGGAGCUCCUGCAAUCAUCAGCGGCCUCCACUGCACCCCCGCAACAAUCUCACCUCCAGCUGCCUGGCCGAGCUGCUGAUGUUCAGGUUUUGGUGAGAAAAUUGUGGUAAAAAGUUGCCUCUUACCGGAGAUCAGCGGAGCUUCUGUUGUGCUGCCGUGACUAAUUCCUUCAGAGACUGGCCUCAAGACACCCUUCCGACUAUCAGCCAACAAAACCAGCCUGACGAGAAGGAGGGAUUAGCUGUGGACUUAGACUUGGAGACGAGAGCAAACCUGCACACACUGUCCCUCCUCCUCCUCCUCCUCCUCUCUCUGACAGCAUGUCGUCCGCCGUUUGCCAGCAUCAAGGCAGCGGGCCAGCCAUCACAGUGAUAGCAUGCACCAGGAGGUCAAAGUACGCCGACCUCUGGGUGUGGUCACUGAAGGCAAGUACAUCUUUAUCUCCCUCAGGGUGUGGUCACUGAAGGCAAGUACAUCUUUAUCUCCCUCAGGGUGUGGUCACUGAAGGCAAGUACAUCUUUAUCUCCAUCCCCAAUCAGGUUGAUGUGUGGCCACCUGCCCCAAGACAGCUGUGUCAGGUUGGCAAUCAGUGUCUGCUUAAAUAUCAGCUGAGUGUAGGAUUCAUGUGUGGUUGGCUCCCUGCUGUUGAAGGUCUGCUGCCAUCGGGCAGUAGGUGUGUUGCUCCACUGAAUGAUAGUUUAGAGAUGAGUCUGCUGAAGGUGUAGUAAGUUUUCAUUCAUGGAAUGCUGUGAUUCAUUUGAACUUGGUGCUGAUAAGAGAUUUCUCUACUCUGUUGUUCAGGCAAUUUAGGGGAACUGAUGAAGUCUUGAAAAAUGCAAUAAUUUGUUUUGUUUCGAUGGAAGCUCCAAUCAGGAGAACUUUAAUUUAACCUUCAGUCAGAAAAGUGACUGAAUAAACCAACGCUGCUGCAUUUGAACAUGAACUGAACUGUCUCUGGGUGCUUAGUUUG
Nerophis ophidion (straightnose pipefish) is the source of this 1640-nucleotide long non-coding RNA. RefSeq lists it as uncharacterized. Lineage: Eukaryota; Metazoa; Chordata; Actinopteri; Syngnathiformes; Syngnathidae. The record is from RefSeq and is a predicted model, not a curated record. The transcript is spliced from 9 exons.